UUGAUGUUGAAACGGGGAAGAAAUUUAAUGUUAAACAAAACAUCCGUACUACUCUAUCAAUGGCUAUAAUCACCAUCGUGAGAAGUAGAAUAUCAGAUGUAAGGUCAUUAUGUAAAAAGAAAAAAAAGGAAAUAGUCAAGUGCAGGUUUAGCACAGGGGCACGGGAGAACGCAGGGGAAAGUCUGAGAGACUUGCAUACUGAUGGGGAGGUGAGGCAGGGACGGGGCCAGGAAGACAAGGCUGCUCAGGGCCCGGCAGUGGGCAGCUCCUUGCAGCAGGGAACUCAGGCCAGAUGUAGACCUUCCAGAGUCAGGCCUGUCAGAGGGACCCCCUGGAAGUGAAGGGGGAAGGGUGGGGCCAGAAUGGGGCUCUGCCACAAGGAACUCCCAGACAGGCUGCUGUCCUCCUCAGACAGGAAGGCGCAGGCCCAGGAGACAGGGAGAGCCUUCCUCCAGGUCUCCUGCCCUGCUGGGGCCUCAGCUGACAGCAAGCUGGGUCGCUUAGGAUGAUGAGGGCACUAAGAUGCUAGCGUCAGGGUCAGGGUCCACCACUGACUCCUCCUGCGAGACCCACAGCCGGCCCUCAGGGGUCCCCCUCGCUGAGGAUCAGCUCAGCGCCCCAUCUGACAUGGUUUGGAGCGACACGCAGAGACACAGAGGCAUGCUGACCCACGGAAGGCACCUUGGUCCUUGGGGCCUCUGAGUUUCGAAGCCUCUCCCACAUCCCUGGGUCAGCAGAUCAUCCCUGUCCCUGACAGACAGGUCAGACCUGGAGAAGGGAAACCUGGCCUGAUGCUGUGGUGUCGUCCCUGCAGGACAGGAGGUGAGGGCAGUUAAAGGAUGGGUCAAGGGGUGAGCAGGAGGGUAAAGGUCGCU
RNAcentral lists this long non-coding RNA (875 nucleotides) under Bos taurus (domestic cattle). RNAcentral's name for it is "long non-coding RNA NONBTAT015414". The record is from RNAcentral. Lineage: Eukaryota; Metazoa; Chordata; Mammalia; Artiodactyla; Bovidae.